RNAcentral lists this long non-coding RNA (238 nucleotides) under Ananas comosus (pineapple). RNAcentral's name for it is "long non-coding RNA (ACOM_LNC004056)". Lineage: Eukaryota; Viridiplantae; Streptophyta; Magnoliopsida; Poales; Bromeliaceae. The record is from RNAcentral.
UAUAAAAAAUAUAGUUUUGUUUGCAAAAUUAGUAUAUUAUAUAUAAUAAAUAUGUAUUGUUUUACUAAAAAUGUUAUAUUUUAUUAGUCGUGUUCUUGUCGUGUCCGUGUUCUUAUAUUUUGAACUUUGCCGAGUCGCCGUGUCCGAGUUGUGUCGUGUCCUGUGUCUCGUGUCCGUAUUCGUGACAUAUAGAUCAGAAUAAAAAAUUAAAUAAGAAGAAAUGGAGAGAUUAAGUUAU